AUCAGAAAGUAUUUUCGUAAGAACGAAACAGAAACUUGAUUUUAGUUUCUGCACUGAAAGAAACUUGAUGAGUAGUCCAUUUUCUCUAAUACUUUUCUAGUACUUGUCACAUUAGUUUAUCAUGUAAAUAUUUCAAUGUAGAGAGGUUUGGAAACUUGCAUUUGUUUCAUUUGAAGUUACUUAUAGAAUUUUGACAUCAUGUCCUCUUUCAUUUUCCAUGUAAUCCAGUGUUCCAUUGCUUAUUAUAUUGUCAUGUUAUCC
Molecule: long non-coding RNA, 261 nt
Filed under: Olea europaea (common olive)
Lineage: Eukaryota; Viridiplantae; Streptophyta; Magnoliopsida; Lamiales; Oleaceae
Description: long non-coding RNA (OEUR_LNC008890)
Source: RNAcentral